Molecule: ribosomal RNA, 547 nt
Filed under: bacterium DT17
Lineage: Bacteria
Description: bacterial SSU rRNA
Rfam family: Bacterial small subunit ribosomal RNA
Source: RNAcentral
UGGGAAUCUUCGGCAAUGGACGAAAGUCUGACNGAGCACGCCGCGUGAGUGAAGAAGGUUUUCGGAUCGUAAAACUCUGUUGGUAGAGAAGAACGUUGGUGAGAGUGGAAAGCUCAUCAAGUGACGGUAACUACCCAGAAAGGGACGGCUAACUACGUGCCAGCAGCCGCGGUAAUACGUAGGUCCCGAGCGUUGUCCGGAUUUAUUGGGCGUAAAGCGAGCGCAGGUGGUUUAUUAAGUCUGGUGUAAAAGGCAGUGGCUCAACCAUUGUAUGCAUUGGAAACUGGUAGACUUGAGUGCAGGAGAGGAGAGUGGAAUUCCAUGUGUAGCGGUGAAAUGCGUAGAUAUAUGGAGGAACACCGGUGGCGAAAGCGGCUCUCUGGCCUGUAACUGACACUGAGGCUCGAAAGCGUGGGGAGCAAACAGGAUUAGAUACCCUGGUAGUCCACGCCGUAAACGAUGAGUGCUAGAUGUAGGGAGCUAUAAGUUCUCUGUAUCGCAGCUAACGCAAUAAGCACUCCGCCUGGGGAGUACGACCGCAAGGUUG